This 2482-nucleotide long non-coding RNA is filed under the name Marmota monax (woodchuck). Lineage: Eukaryota; Metazoa; Chordata; Mammalia; Rodentia; Sciuridae. The record is from RNAcentral.
AUUUGUGACAAUUUUAACAAAAUUUCACACACGAACUGUAUGAACUAAAAUAUUUUUUUUAAAAAAGUAAGAAAAUGUGGUCUGGGGCUGCAGCUCAGCAACAGGGCACUUACCUAGCAUUUGUGAGGAACUGGGUUUGAUCCACAGCACCACAUAAUUUUUUUUUAAAAAAAAUUAAGAAAAUGUUAUAUUGUCAUGAAUGCACAAAAUAUAUGUAGAAAUGGUCUAUUUUAUAACUUCCUACCAUAAAAUACGUACACAAAAUUAUUAUAAAAAUCUAAAAGUCUGUGUUUCAAUGCAUAAAUUAUUGCAGAUUUUAUAUUGGGUUUUUUGUUGUUGUUGUUGUUGUUUGUUUGUUUAUUUGUUUUUGUGGUGCUGGGGAUUGAACCCAGGGCCUUGGAACUUCGAGGCAAAAACUCUACCAAUUGAGCUAUAUUCCCAGCCCCAGAUUUUAUGCUGUUUUGCAAAAAAGUGGGGGUACAAUCAUUAUGUGAAGCUUUUAUUUAAAGGAAAAAAAAAUGUGUUGGCCAGCACAGUAGUACAUGCCUGUAAUCCCAGAAGCUUCAUGAGUUCAAAGCUAGUCUCAGCAAUUUAGUGAGGCCCUAAGCAACUCAGUGAGACCCUGUCUUCAAAUAAGAUACAAAAUAAGGCUGGAAAUGUGGCUCAGUGGUUGAGUGCCCCUGAGUUCAAUCUCCAGUUCCAAAACAAACAAAUGAACGAAAAACAUUGUGUCAAUAUUACUUAAAAAUCACUCAUUACUAACCUGUCUUUGGUGCAAAUUAGAAUAAAUGAAAUAAUUGUGACUAUAUGUUAAAAUUGAAUAAUACAAACUGAUACAUAUCAUUUCUUCAUGACAGUUUGGCAAACAUUUUUCUGGUCUGAAAAAAAAAAAGCACAUUAGUUGUUGAUUUAUGCAUUAUAGUUGAAAAAUCACACUUGAGAAAAUUUACUACAGUGUUGUGAAGUAUGGACUUUAGUUUUUCUUUUGUGUCUGAAGAUUCUGCACCAGUAUCUUUGGUUUCAUUAUCUGUGGCACUGUUCUCAGCACCAUUCAUAUAAGAUGUGUUUACUAUUAGUACUGUACCACUAGAAACAAACGAUAUAAGUUGACUUUGGGAAAUGUACUGUUGUGUGCAUGUGCUGCAAAUUCUAGGCUCCAGGUGAUAUGCCGGUGACAAGAUCUGCUUUCUCACAUGUUGAAGUUUGAACACUAGAGAAGCACGUCCAGGCAAGCAUAUAAAGUAGGGUUUAUUUAAAAGAGAUAGCAUAGAUUUCUUCCAGGAGGGAGAAGGGGACCAUAGCUGGUGUCCUGGUAUCCACAGAAGUGAAAUGUUCUGCCUUUUUUAUAUGUCCUAGGCUUCCUUUGUUCUCCUGCUCUCUUCCCCUUAUCUUUGUCCUUCCCGAGUAUGUGACUAGGCCCAGGAAUGCUCAGUGGGAGGGCCAAUAGUGGGAAACAGGUGGGCCAAGGGGGAAGGGCAGGAUGGUGAAGCCCUGAAAACAUUAAUUAAUGACUUUUUUUUUAAAAUUUUAUUUACUUGUUUUUAGUCAUACAUGACAGUAGAAUGCAUUUUGAUAUAUAAUACAUACACGGAAUGUACAUACAUCAAUCAUAUUGUCUAUUCUAUUCUGCUGCCCUUCCUAUCCUCCCUACUCCUCCACUCCUCUCCCAUCCUUUCUCUCUAUCCAAUCUAAUGUGACACACUUUUUUUUUCUUUUUCUCAUCACAACAUCAUAUAUAUAUUCUGUAUAAACAAUGAGGUUCUCCUUCCAUCUUCUUUGCAACUCCCCUUCUCCCUCUUUUUCCCUCCCACCUCUCUUCCCUAUUUAGUGGUAGUCUUCUUCUCAUGCUCUUCCUCCCUAUCCCAUUUUGAGUCACCCCACUUAUAUCAGAGAAGACAUUCGGCAUUUGUUUUUUAGGGAUUGGCUAACUUCACUUAGCAUAAUCUGCUCUAAUGCCAUCCAUUUGCCUGCAAAUGCCAUGAUUUUAUUAUUUUUUAGUGCUGAGUAAUAUUCCAUUGUGUAUAAAUGCCACAUUUUUUAAUCCAUUCAUUUAUUGAAGGGCAUCUAGGUUGGUUCCACAUUCUAGUUUAUUGUGAAUUGUGCUGCUAUAAACAUUGAUGUGGCUGUGUCCCUGUAGUAUGCUCUUCUUAGGUCUUUUGGGUAUUGUCCGAGAAGGGGAAUAGCUGGGCCAAAUAGUGGUUCCAUUCCCAGCUUCCCAAGGAAUCUCCAUACUGCUUUCCAAAUUAGCUGCACCAAUUUGCAGUCCCACCAGCAAUGUAUGAGUGUACCUCUCCCCCACCCCCAUCCUCGCCAGCACUUAUUUUUGUUUGACUUCAUAAUGGCUGCCAUUCUUAUUGGAGUGAGAUGGUAUCUUAGAGUAGUUUUAAUUUGCAUUUCUCUGAUUGCUAGAGAUGGUGAGCAUUUUUUCAUGUAUUUGUUGAUUGAUUGUAUAUCCUUUUCUGAGAAGUUUCUGUUCAAGUCC